RNAcentral lists this ribosomal RNA (361 nucleotides) under Pediococcus pentosaceus. RNAcentral's name for it is "bacterial SSU rRNA". It matches the Rfam family "Bacterial small subunit ribosomal RNA", at positions 85 to 440 of the family's 1533-position model. Lineage: Bacteria; Bacillati; Bacillota; Bacilli; Lactobacillales; Lactobacillaceae. The record is from RNAcentral.
CACGAAGUGAGUGGCGAACGGGUGAGUAACACGUGGGUAACCUGCCCAGAAGUAGGGGAUAACACCUGGAAACAGAUGCUAAUACCGUAUAACAGAGAAAACCGCAUGGUUUUCUUUUAAAAGAUGGCUCUGCUAUCACUUCUGGAUGGACCCGCGGCGUAUUAGCUAGUUGGUGAGGUAAAGGCUCACCAAGGCAGUGAUACGUAGCCGACCUGAGAGGGUAAUCGGCCACAUUGGGACUGAGACACGGCCCAGACUCCUACGGGAGGCAGCAGUAGGGAAUCUUCCACAAUGGACGCAAGUCUGAUGGAGCAACGCCGCGUGAGUGAAGAAGGGUUUCGGCUCGUAAAGCUCUGUUGUU